This 1770-nucleotide ribosomal RNA is filed under the name Pallisentis nandai. RNAcentral describes it as "SSU rRNA". It matches the Rfam family "Eukaryotic small subunit ribosomal RNA". Lineage: Eukaryota; Metazoa; Acanthocephala; Eoacanthocephala; Gyracanthocephala; Quadrigyridae. The record is from RNAcentral.
GAAGGCUCUUAAUCCGUCUGGUUUAUAGAUCAUACGCAUCAAAUUGAUAACUGUGAACAUCUAGAGCUACUACAUGCCGCGAAACUUCGACUUGCGAAGGAGUGCUUUUAUUAGAUCAAAGCCAAUGGCCCACUUGUGGGUCUUAUACUGUGCUGAUUCUGAAUAAAGUAAGCUGAUUGCAUUGCCAUUGAGUAGGUGACGUAUCUUUCAAGUGUCUUCCCUAUCAACUUUCGUUGGUACUUUAUAUGACUACCAUGGUCGUAACGGGUGACGGGGAAUCAGGGUUCGAUUCCGGAGAGAGAGCAUGAGAAACGGCUGUCACAUCCAAGGAAGGCAGCAGGCGCGCAAAUUACCCAAUCCUAGAUCGGGGAGGUAGUGACGAAAAAUAACGAUGCCGUGAUCUUAGGAUUCGGCAAUUGGAAUGAGAACAAUCAAAAUCCUUUAUCGAGGAUCAAUUGGAGGGCAAGUUCUGGUGCCAGCAGCCGCGGUAAUUCCAGCUCGAAUAGCGUAUAUUAAAUUUGCUGCGGUUAAAAAGCUCGUAGUUGGUUGUCAGGAGAUGAACUAGGGGCUACCAAAAUUGUGUAGUCAUACCCGAGAUUCGCUCCUUUAAAUACCACUCCUAUGUGACGCACUUUGAUGUGUGCUGCGUAUGGAUGGUAUGAUACUACUUUGAGAAAAUUAGCGUGCUCAACGCAGGCGAUUCGCUUGUAUACUGUUGCAUGGAAUAAUGAGAAAGGACCUCGGUUCUGUUUCGUUGGUUUCCGGAAGCUGAGGUAAUGAUUGAUAGGGACAAACGGGGGCAUUCGUAUUGUGGUGUUAGAGGUGAAAUUCUGUGAUCACCGCAAGACGAACAACUGCGAAAGCAUUUGCCAAGAAUGUUUUCAUUAAUCAAGAACGAAAGUUAGAGUUUCGAAGACGAUUAGAUACCGUCCUAGUUCUAACUAUAAACUAUGCCAACUGGGCAUCUGGCGGUAGCACAUUAGGCAUCGGCAGGCACCCCGCGGGAAACCAAAGUUAUAGGGUUCCGGGGGGAGUAUGGUUGCAAAAUCGAAACUUAAAGGAAUUGACGGAGGGGCACACCAGAAGUGGAGCCUGCGGCUCAAUUUGACUCAACGCACGAAAACUUACUCGGUCCGAACACCGUGAGGAUUGACAGGUUGAAAGCUCUUUCUUGAUUUGGUGGGUGGUGGUGCAUGGCCGUUCGUAGUUGGUGGAGUGAUUUGUCUGGUUUAUUCCGAUAACGAACGAGACUCUAGCCUAUUAAUUAGUGUGGCGAGUGACGACUUUAUUGGUCUUGCCGCCUGAACACUUCUUAGAGGGACAAGUACUGUAAAGUGCUGGAAGAUGAGCAAUAACAGGUCUGUGAUGCCCUUAGAUGUUCGAGGCUGCACGCGCGCUACAAUGGAGGCUUCAAAAAGUAGUUAUCCUGGUUUGAAAAGAUCGGGGAAUCAAAAAUAGCCUUCACGAUUGGGAUCGGAGAUUGUAAUUAUUCUUCGUGAAAGAGGAAUUCCUAGUAAACGCGAAUCAUUAUUUCGCGUUGAAUAAGUCCCUGCCCUUUGUACACACCGCCCGUCGCUACUACCGAUCGAAUGGUCUAGUGAGGUUUCCGGAUAGGUUGCAUGGAGCCAAAAGCUCCACUGUAUAUUCUAAAAGCUGACCGAACUUAACCAUUUAGAGGAAGUAAAAGUCCUAAACAAGAAAAAACGGGGAAGUAAAAGUCGUACCAGGGAAGUAAAAGUCCUACCACGGACAGUAAAAAGGGGCAACUAA